UUUACAUUCAGAUAAUAAUUAAAUAAAUGUACAUAUCCAAAUUAUCAUUGAAAAAAAAAAUUAUAAAUUCAAAUUUAACAAUCAAUAGUUAUAUAGAAUACAAUAAUAUUUCUUACAUAAAAAAAGUUUACUUAUCUCUCGAAAAGUGCUUAUUUUAUUGAUCCUGAACAAUUGAAAGGGAUAGUUAAAAUCAGGUCAUAAAGAGCUGGGGGGAAAUACUGCAAAGCAUUUUUUCUGUCACUCUAAUGUCCCCUGAAUAGAUAAUGAUUUCAAGGGGGUGGGGUAAGUCAAUUCCAUCAACCUCAGUACUUGUUCUAUCAGCCUCAAAAGGAUGAAAGCAAAGUCGAUCUCUGUGGAAUUUCAACUCUGAACAUAAAGAUGGAUGUUAAAACAGUUCUAUCAGUUCGUUGCCUUGGAAAAAUAAUCAUAAUAAUUCUUUCUAAUUUUGGCAGGAGGCCAGAAAUUAUUGAGGGCAGGAUGAAGUCAGUUCCUUUAACUAUGGUACUCAACUGUGUUACCUUUUUCUACAGCAUUUCACUUUCUGAAGUAAGCAUUUUAUAGACUGCAAUUUCUGAAAAUAUUAGUAGAAUUUCUUCUUGUCAUAUCCUUCGUGUCCUUUUUCUUUUUACGAACUACUUUUUGUGCAAAUUAGGAACUUCAUUUUCUUUUUAAUAACAACUUUUAGAGCUGAGCCUAUUAAAAU
RNAcentral lists this long non-coding RNA (703 nucleotides) under Octopus vulgaris (common octopus). The record is from RNAcentral. Lineage: Eukaryota; Metazoa; Mollusca; Cephalopoda; Octopoda; Octopodidae.